RNAcentral lists this long non-coding RNA (1194 nucleotides) under Mytilus galloprovincialis (Mediterranean mussel). Lineage: Eukaryota; Metazoa; Mollusca; Bivalvia; Mytilida; Mytilidae. The record is from RNAcentral.
AAAAUUUCUUCAAACAUUUUUUUGAGAGGAUUAAUAUUCAACAGCAUAGUGAAUUGCUCAAAGGCAAAAAAAAUAUUUUAAGUUCAUUAGACCACAUUCAUUCUGUGUCAGAAACCUAUGCUGUGUCAACUAUUUAAUUUUAGAUUUAAAAAGUUUGAAGAAGAAAUCUUUAAUUGAUUUGUAAAAUCUUGAAUUUGUUUUGUGUAAAAAAAAACAUGUAAUUGUCAAAAAUUUGAUCACAUCCAAAUUCAGAGCUGUAUCACGCUUGAAUGUUUUGUCCAUACUUGCCCCAACUGUUCAGGGUUCAACCUCUGCGGUCGUAUAAAGCUGCGCCUGCGGAGCACCUGGUUGUCCUGUUUUCAAAUUGGUCUAUCAUUAAAGUCCAAAGGGUCCAAAAUUAAACUAAGUUUGAUUUUAACAAAAAUUGAAUUCUUGGGCCUCUUUGAUAUGCUGAAUCUAAACAUGUGCUUAGAUUUUUGAUUAUGGGCCAGUUUUCAAGUUGGUCCAAAUCAGGAUCCAAAAUUAUUAUAUUAAAUAUGUGCAAUAGCAAGUCUUUUCAAUUGCACAGUAUUGUGCAAUGGCAAGAAAUAUCUAAUUGCACAGUUUGUGAAAUAGCAAAUUUUUUUUUAAUUAGAGUUAUCUUUCUUUAUCCAGAAUAGUAAGCAAGAAAUAUCUUAUUGCACAAAGCAAGAAUUUUUUAUAAUUGGAGUUAUCUUUCUUUGUCCAGAAUCAACUUAAAUCUUUGUUAUAUACAAUAUACAAUGUAUAUUCACUUUUUACUACCAACUGAUAAAUUUAAAUAAUCUUUACCAUUCAGUGAUAACAAGCAGUUUUUUUACAUCUUAAUAUUUAGAUGUAUUUAAAUGAGUAGUUAUUGUUGCAAACCUCAUUAGAUAUAUUUUAAUUGAGAUUAGUUUUGGAAUAAGGGAAAGGGGAUGUGAUUAAAAAAUUGGGUUCAAUUUUUCUUCAUUUGAAAUUUCAUAAAUAAAAAGAAAAUUUCUUCAACAUUUUUUGAGAGGAUUAAUAUUCAACAGCAUAGUGAAUUGCUCUAAGAGAAAACAAAAAUUUUAAGUUCAUUAGAACACAUUCAUUCUGUGUCAGAAACCUAUGCUGUGUCAACUAUUUAAUCACAAUCCAAAUUUAGAGCUGAAUCCAGCUUGAAUGUUGUGUCAUACUUGCCCCAACCGUUCAGGG